This 426-nucleotide long non-coding RNA is filed under the name Phoenix dactylifera (date palm). RNAcentral's name for it is "long non-coding RNA (PDAC_LNC018407)". Lineage: Eukaryota; Viridiplantae; Streptophyta; Magnoliopsida; Arecales; Arecaceae. The record is from RNAcentral.
UUAGAAACCUAAUGUUCCUUCUCUUUUACAAAUAACAUAAAAAAAUAUAUAUAAAACAAAUAAGCUUCUCCCUCAACAUAAAAUAACAAUUUUUUUUUUAUUUCUUUCUUCUUCCCAAGAGAAACAGAGCAAUGCUCUGUUUCUUCUUUCUAAAUUCUUCUCUCCCAAGCCGAUGGCGUCCCUUUCCUCCCUCUUGAACCAGCCGACCACCCUGCCAAGAGCCCCCUGUUCCUUGGCCCCCCAACCGAGCACCACCCGAGAGCUUCCCUCCUCCUCUCGUUCUCCCCUUCUUAUAGAUCGCCACAGCAUGGAAUGGAAGGCAGCGAUAGAUCCCGGGAGAGGAGGAGGGCGCGGUCUGCGGCCGUGUGCAGGAUCACCUCACGGACGUGGGAUCUCGGCUACAUCACGGCGGAAGCAGAGGCGGAG